Molecule: long non-coding RNA, 3436 nt
Organism: Lynx canadensis (Canada lynx)
Lineage: Eukaryota; Metazoa; Chordata; Mammalia; Carnivora; Felidae
Exons: 3
Source: RefSeq, a predicted model, not a curated record
ACCCCGGGCAGUGGAACGCAGAAUUGGCGGACUGUUUUCAGCCAGGAGCGAGGGCGCCGCCAGGUCACCGUGUGCCGUCCUGUCCUGUCAGUGCGUCUGUGUGGCCCAGUAGCUCAGGGAAGCCGGCAAGUCUGGAGCAAGAGCAUGGGGCGAGUGUCACUGGAGACGGCCGGGCUGGCGGCAAGGAGCAAUCGGGAAGACCGCGGGGCCUCGCCGAGGGGACGAGCCGGGAAACCCUCCUUCCCAGGUGGGUGCUGGACCCCGUGUUAGAGCAAGAGGAAAGAAAAGUUGGGAGCGUUCGCGCACCUGCAGAUGGGAAGAAGUGAGCGGCGACCCCGGUUCUGACCCCCGCUUCGGGGUUCCCCGGUUGCGAGGGGCUGAGCCCGGGUCCAGAGGGGGCUCGGCGGAGCACAGGAGCCCCGGGGUCCUUUGCCGAGCGGCUGGAGGCCUGGCGGGGCUGGCCGGCCGAGCCUCAUUCGCAGGGUCCCGGACUUGGGUCCCACGUUGGGGGAAAUUUCUGGGCUGGGGCCCACGUGAGACAUCGCCGUGCUCACCUGGGCCCCGCAGACUGGCUUCUCUGGUGGCUCCGGGCGGGGGGCCCUGGCAGGGGCGGUGCUCGGGAGGGGAGGCGGGGAGAGGGUCCGGGGGCCGGAGGGUCCCCCCGCUCCCUCCUCGCCCCACCUUCUCCCCUUCCGGAAUCGAAACCGAAACCUCGCCCCGCGCACCUUUCCGAGGGACCAAGAAGCCGAGACUUGGUGGGACGGGAGCUCGGAGCCGAGGACGCAGGCCUCCAGGGAGACACCUCACGACCCGCAUCGCGGGACGGCUCGUUGGUCUAGGGUCUUUUCAGGGCAUGAACGGAGGCCCCAGCAGAUCCCCGUAGGGACGGACCAGAGACGGUCCCGGUGCGCGGCAGACCCAGAGCGCACCUGGACCCCGGUGGCCGGAUGAGGUCUGGGCCCCAAGGCCGGUGUCCAGGUGUGCUCAGUGGACAAGGGGACGCCUGGACCCUGGUUACGGGCAGCGGUUUCCCCUGAGGGCUCCCCAAAUUUCUUAACGUCCUUCCUCAUCCUUUCUCCACCUGUAGACACUCAGCUUCCAUCUGGGUCCGAGCGGGGUGCAGAUGCACGUCUUGGAGCCUGGGGGCAGAAGGUGACACUUGGGUCAGAGCGGGGGGUCCCUCCAGUGUAUGGCUUGGGAGGGGUGGGGUCCCAUGGGAGAGAGAACGGUCCCGCUCCAGGGGUGCGGGGUCCAAAACCUGUUCUCAGCUCCACUCCACAGCCCGGCCCUGCGCGUGGUGACAGAAGGAGGGUCUGGGGGAGCUUUCCCAAGCCGAUAGCCUCAGUUUCCCAUUGACAGGAAGAGCGGCCACCCCAAAACCCAGACUGGGACCUGCUGCCUUGGAGUCUUAGCGUGUGGCAGUGCUGCCCCCCACCCCCUGCCAUUCUCCUGUCCAUAGAGACCUGAAUCAAACCCUUCUCUGACACCCACAGGAAGUGGGGACAGUUCCUGACCAACGAGCCAGAGCCGGAGGGGUGGCUCCUUGGUCUAGGGCUUUGAUUCUCCGUUAGGGUGCGCGAAGUCCCAGGCCCAAAUCCUAGCCGAGCCCUGCUUUUGAGAGUGUUUGGCAGUGGGCGCGCUGCAAUCACCAGGACGCGUGGACAUGCCCCCCCAGGCUGUCACCCUCCCCUACUCAUAGUGGUCCGGGGCCCUCUGCCCUGAGCGCCUCCCCACUGACUGAUGAUCGUGCCCUGGAGUCCCACGUACACCCUGACCCCCAAAGGGACAACUUAGCAAAAACUGGAGCUUGUCACCACCGCGCACGUGGCAUCCUGCCGUGGCGUCCCUCGGUCGUGCAGGUGAUAGUUGUGGCUCCUUCCCUUGACUAAACCCAAGAGAAAACUGUGACCGUGGUGGUUUUUCUCCUGUAGCCGGGUCCAAAUCUCUGAAGAACCGCUUUCUAAGACUGCUUUGCUCAAAGAGGAAGUUGAGGAAUAAAGCGGCCGGAAGCCGGUGUAAGGAGUGGGUGUCCUUCAUCACCUCCGAUGGCUUUGGUGCGUCCAAGAGGUUUUACCUAAACCGAAUAUGCCAAACCGAAUAUGCCAGGAACUGCUCAGCGGUCUCUUUCUAAAAGGACGCCCAGCGUGGGGCUCGAACCCACGACCCUGAGAUUAAGAGUCUCAUGCUCUACCGACUGAGCUAGCCGGGCAGCCGUAACCAAGGUGCUGCGGCUGAGUUUCAGAAUUUGUUGGGCUGCAGACAAGUCAAAAUGGCUAAGCAGUUCAGGUCUUGGGGAGAACGGGGAUGUGGCCACUUCUGGAGUCCCUCGGGGCACUCUGCGUGUGGGAACUGCUCAGAAAGGGCUGCGUCCCCAGCCCAGCGUGGGGAGCGGGGAGCCGAGUGGUGGAGGCUGAGGGGCCGCCCUGACCCCCCCCCCCACACACAGAUAGAUGGGCUGGGGGGGGGGGCAGCCGUAGGGAGCCCUGAGGCGUGGACGGGACUCAGCGGACCCGAGCCAGCUGACCCCGCCGCACAUGGACAGGCGGCAGGAAAUGGGGAAGUGACAGCGGGCCCGUCCUCCCUCACGUAAUCAGACAAACCUGCGAACUUAAAAUAAUUAUUAGACCCACCAGAUUCCACCCGUUCGCGGGAAAAUUCCCACCUAUGCUUCCUUUGAAUUAUCAAAAAUCAAUUUAUUUUUAUUAAAAAAUUAAAAAAUAUAUAUAUAUUUUGCCCCCAAACCUUCUUGGUCUGCCCUUGGGCAACCCUGAGCUGCUGAAUCUGCCCCCCACCAUGGUCGGCUGCGGGUGGGGGCGGGUGGGGAGCGGGUUGGGAGACCCCAGGGUGCCUGCCUCCCGCUCGCUGCCUCGGGAUCCAGUCUCCAGGUUUCAGGGCCAAGAGCAAGGUGUCCCUGGACGCAGAGGUUCGGUCCUAGUGUGUCUGCAUGCCUGAGCCCCAGGUGGGUUGGGGCUGGGGCAGCCCCCACCGCACCCCCCUCUCCAGAGCAAGGAGGAAUUUUAGGUAAACAGUAGGCUGGGAGUAGGACCCAGCAGUUCUCUGCUCGUCCCCCGCCCCAAGCUCUGGAGUCGGGGUGGCUCAGUGACUCUGCUGAGGGUCCACUGAGAUUCCAGGCUCCACACCGCAACUGCGUGUGCGGAUCUGGCCCGCAUCCUGAAUACAGCUCACCAGCGUAGACAGGAGGAAGGAGGCAGCAGGGAGCCGGCACACAGACUGGGGAAGACAGAACACGGAGUGCAUGGUGUAGUGGUGUUGGGUGUGUGCAAGGCACUGAGGGUAUUUGAAAACAAAAGGACUUUACUCGCAGAGGUAUUUGCUCCCCACCCCAAAACGAAAAGCUUUUAUGGUUGAGGCUAUACGGUACGUGCUUUAAAAUUAAAAAGUGGAGGAGGACAGGUUUUAAAAACACACAAAAAUG